GCUCUCUCCUGGGCGAGCACCGUCGCACACCGGUGAGUUUUUAAUUUUCCAUUUGUGCAUCCAGUAUCUGCAUCUCCCAUGGUUUGUGCAGAUGCAGUUUAGAGUUGCUCAAGAGUGCUGCAGGAGAUCAAAGCCAGGGACCUUCUGCACUGGAUCUAUCACAAGACAUUUAUUGAGGAUUUUAUGUGAGCUUCACUCAGUUUGCCAAGCUUCCUCCGGGUUAAAGUCACUGGUCGAAGGUUAAGCACAUGAAUUCAAAAGGCCCUGCACAACUUUAGGAGAUGGUGACGUGGGGAUGAUGUAGUUGGGGCCAGUCCUGCUUGGAGCAGGGGGCUGGACCGGAUGAUCUCCUGAGGUCCCUUCCAGCCCUUGUUUUCUGAUUACUGUGGUCCUAGUGGAUGGGGAGACAUUUAUUUUCCUUAAUUUGCUGGACUUCCACCUGCUCACCACGAAUGGGUGGAUCCCUUGACUGGCAGGAACAAACACCACCCAUCCUUGACCUGGUGAUUGCCGCAUCCAUCGCCCCUUUUGCUGCAAGCAGAGUUUGCAAAGAGAGGUUUUCUGAACAAACUCAGAACAGUUUCCUUCCACCCUCUGCCUGUCACUUAGCUUCUGGUCUUUACAGCCUCAGCAUCGUAUAAGGAGACACUUCCAAGGUGGGUCUCUCUCUUGCUGCCAGAAAGAUUAAUGGGGUAGCAUUUUGCAGAAAACGGGCAUUCAGUGAUUCAGAUAUUUUAAUUCAAAUGUAUUCACAUCUGCUCCAUACAAGUCAACUUGUCCUGACCUGCCGUGAUGUCACAGACAUGCCAUGCUGACCUCAUGGAACAUCACUGAUGUCAGGCAGGUAGACUUUCUCAGGUCCCAGCUCCAGCUCUGGUGGCUUAGGUCAAAGAUUUUGCAGCAGCCAAGGGACUUUAUACUGAGCGGCUGGUGCAAGUUGAAUAUGCAGGUUGGUGGAAGAAGUCCGAGGAGCAGGGCUGCGGAUCUCCGGCAGGGAGGAGCAAGAAGCUGGAACCCACUGGUCCCCCUGGAAAACCAAUCCAGCCCAAGGCCUCCUCCAUGUCAGCCACAGGGCAUCUCUGGUCUCUGUUGGAUCAGAAGUCAAUCUGUGAAGGCACUUAAUAAUCAGAAGCAAAGCCUGAUCCUGCUUCCACUGCAAAACGUCCCUUAGCUUCAGUACCUGAAGGCUCAACCUCAGCUGCCUGCAUCCUUAAAUGUAGAAAAGCCUGCAGAAAGAGUUGCGCACGACACACGUAGAAGGACCGGUCAUCUGCCACCAGCACGCAGCCACCUCAGGUGGCACAGAACAGCUCUUCAGCAACGCGGCAGGACAGAUGACGCUGGAAAGGAAGAAGAAAAAUGGACAGAAACAACCUGGUCCCUUUCCAGGUCUCUCCCUCUCACCUCAGUAACUCACCUCAGUUACCCACAUGGUUGACAAGACGCAAGCCAAGGGAAAUUUUGAUAUUGCCACCUUGGGUUUCAUUCCAU
Molecule: long non-coding RNA, 1491 nt
Organism: Crocodylus porosus (Australian saltwater crocodile)
Lineage: Eukaryota; Metazoa; Chordata; Crocodylia; Crocodylidae
Source: Ensembl